This is a long non-coding RNA of Salvia splendens (bonfire salvia), 1715 nucleotides long. RefSeq lists it as uncharacterized. Lineage: Eukaryota; Viridiplantae; Streptophyta; Magnoliopsida; Lamiales; Lamiaceae. The record is from RefSeq and is a predicted model, not a curated record. The transcript has 2 exons.
ACCAAAUUCAAUUAUAUUCCCUUCUCCAGUACGUAGCCCCCUUCCCUCAUUUUUCUCCACCAAAAGAAAAAUUCCCAAAAAGUUCAUACUCAAAACCAGAAGAACCCUAGCUCAUCGGCGCCUCCUUCCUCAGCGUCGAUCGACGCUUCGUCGGGCCAUCGGAGCGUCACCACUCCAGUCCAUCAUCGUUCUCAGUCGCCGGCGCUUCCUAUCGGUGGGAGUUCCGCCAUCGCGCAUAGUUGCACGGCGGAGGCUUCGAAGUUUCUCCGAACGAUGAGGUAGCCGCCCCUGCCGCGUCUCACAGAGGCAUCCGCCGUUGCUGACGCCACCUUCGGCAGAGAGGGGAGUGACUCCUCCAUCUUCUCCGAUCCAAAACGGAUCAGACCUCUACUAUCUCCCCCGUUUCGAAAUCGGGGCUCCAUCCCAUCGAUCUACCUCGGCGCCUUAAUCGUUCGGUCACCGUGGUCUCACUUAUCCACCUCAUCUCCGGCCGCUUGACGAGCAGGGCCGUCGCCCGCCAUGUCGCCCAGCGCCGCUUCUUCCUCGUCUCUCUGACCUUGCGUAGCUAAGUCUCCUUCCUUCCCCUUUCUACUUGAACUAAAUUUUAGUCACUUCUCGUUUAUUUUCAGGAGUAGUUGGUGGACUAGCACUCCUUUGAGUGAUUUUGUAUAUUUGUUUCCAGUUUAUACAUCUUACAGAUUUUGAAGCUAGGUGUUACUUUAAGACAAGGUCUUGAAUCUACUAAAAACUUGUUGUUGACUAAGGUUUGUGCAAUAUUGAGAAUAGCUAGAUCUUAACAUGCCACGCCUAAGUGUCUGUACUGCUGUGAUUACUACUAAAAGUGGGAUCUCAAUUACAUGAUGGUAUGACUUGUUAUCUGAGCUUGAGAGUGAGUGAGUUUACCUUCACUGAAACUGUUUGGCUGCUCCCUACUCUGGCCUUGAUCGCCCUCACUCCUCAACUUGUUUCUUAGUUGAAUGAAAAUGCUGUGUGAUAGAGGAUGGAACCGAGGGGAGUUAGCAUGUGUAUAUAUACACAUUUCUUGUAAUUGAAAGCUGCAAAAGCUGAGUGUUGGCUGGAAAAAGGACUCCACAGGUUGUGCAGCUGGCUGCUCUCUCUGCAGCUCUGCAGAGCAUGUACUCUGAGCCCCUGAUUUCCCCUCUAACUGAUUUUGGUGGUUUGUGGAGAGUACUCGUGAAUUCAUAGGAGUUUUACAACUUCUUUUGUUGCUAUAUUGCAGGCCCUCUCAGUCCUUAACUGCUACUAGCUGGAGUGAGGGUGGUUAGAAAUGGGGUGCAGAUGCUGCGAUUUCUCUUUGCGAUUUGCUGCACUCGGUGCUCAGGCAAAUGGCAGCCUGCCAUCUUUCUCCUUUAACCAAGUUUGGUCUCCAAACCUUAAAGUACGAGGGCUGAUCUAUAUUGGUGUUGGCAGCGUCUAUUGCUAGCUGCCGAGGCUGUGUUCCUCGAUGACUCGCCUCUUCGGGCUUUCUGGGAUCUGGGCCUAGACGGCCUAGUGUUGAAGACCGACGUAGUUGCUAGGAAUUCAACUAUGUAAUAGUGUAGCUCGACUUAAACGAAAUUCCCAACUUGUACAAAAAUUCGACAAAGAUUGGUGUAUAUUUCUUUCUAACAUUUGUAAUUUGUUAGCUUAGAAAUUUCUGGAAAUUUGUAUUUAUACUCUUAUUUAAGAAAUAUAAAUACUCCUUCAUUCGUAAA